GACGAACGCUGGCGGCGUGCUUAACACAUGCAAGUCGAACGGAAAGGCCCUGCUUUUGUGGGGUGCUCGAGUGGCGAACGGGUGAGUAACACGUGAGUAACCUGCCCUAGACUUUGGGAUAACUUCAGGAAACUGGGGCUAAUACCGGAUAGGAGCUCCUGCUGCGUGGAGGGGGUUGGAAAGUUUCGGCGGUUGGGGAUGGACUCGCGGCUUAUCAGCUUGUUGGUGGGGUAGUGGCUUACCAAGGCUUUGACGGGUAGCCGGCCUGAGAGGGUGACCGGCCACAUUGGGACUGAGAUACGGCCCAGACUCCUACGGGAGGCAGCAGUGGGGAAUAUGGCACAAUGGGCGGAAGCCUGAUGCAGCAACGCCGCGUGCGGGAUGACGGCCUUCGGGUUGUAAACCGCUUUCGCCUGUGACGAAGCGUGAGUGACGGUAAUGGGUAAAGAAGCACCGGCUAACUACGUG
Molecule: ribosomal RNA, 468 nt
Filed under: uncultured bacterium
Lineage: Bacteria
Description: partial 16S ribosomal RNA
Rfam family: Bacterial small subunit ribosomal RNA
Source: RNAcentral